Non-coding RNA from Pristis pectinata (smalltooth sawfish), 393 nucleotides. The record is from the annotation of a RefSeq genome assembly. NCBI's taxonomy places the organism in Eukaryota, Metazoa, Chordata, Chondrichthyes, Rhinopristiformes, Pristidae.
AUGUCGCCUUUCCCGAUUGUGUGCUUCCUUCUCGUCAGCUUACCGUAUGUCCAGGCUGAAGUUGUGUUGACCCAGCCGGUAACUGCUGCGGGAAAUCUCGGACACUCUGCGAAAUUGUCCUGUUCAGUGAGUGGCUACAAUAUCAACGACCAUCACAUGCACUGGUACAAGCAGGUCUCCGUGAAAGGCCUGGAGUGGCUACUGGCUUACAGGAAAGGAUACAAUACAAUCUACGCGCCCGGAGUAGAAGGACGAAUCACGUUUUCAACUGAAUCCUCAACAACCCACAUUGAGAUCAAUAAUCUGACAGUCGAGGACGCCGCUGCUUAUUACUGCGGUGUUGCUAUGCACAGUGCUUUAAAACUCAUCUGUCACUGUGCAAAAACCCCAUGA